UUAAGCGACUAAGCGUACACGGUGGAUGCCCUGGCAGUCAGAGGCGAUGAAGGGCGUGCUAAUCUGCGAUAAGCGCCGGUAAGGUGAUAUGAACCGUUAUAACCGGCGAUACCCGAAUGGGGAAACCCAGUGUGACUCGUCACACUAUCAUUAACUGAAUCCAUAGGUUAAUGAGGCGAACCGGGGGAACUGAAACAUCUAAGUACCCCGAGGAAAAGAAAUCAACCGAGAUUCCCCCAGUAGCGGCGAGCGAACGGGGAGUAGCCCAGAGCCUGAAUCAGCAUGUGUGUUAGUGGAAGCGUCUGGAAAGGCGCGCGAUACAGGGUGACAGCCCCGUACACAAAAGCGCAUGUGCUGUGAGCUCGAUGAGUAGGGCGGGACACGUGGUAUCCUGUCUGAAUAUGGGGGGACCAUCCUCCAAGGCUAAAUACUCCUGACUGACCGAUAGUGAACCAGUACCGUGAGGGAAAGGCGAAAAGAACCCCGGCGAGGGGAGUGAAAAAGAACCUGAAACCGUGUACGUACAAGCAGUGGGAGCACCCUUUGGGGUGUGACUGCGUACCUUUUGUAUAAUGGGUCAGCGACUUAUAUUCUGUAGCAAGGUUAACCGAAUAGGGGAGCCGUAGGGAAACCGAGUCUUAAUUGGGCGUUAAGUUGCAGGGUAUAGACCCGAAACCCGGUGAUCUAGCCAUGGGCAGGUUGAAGGUUGGGUAACACUAACUGGAGGACCGAACCGACUAAUGUUGAAAAAUUAGCGGAUGACCUGUGGCUGGGGGUGAAAGGCCAAUCAAACCGGGAGAUAGCUGGUUCUCCCCGAAAGCUAUUUAGGUAGCGCCUCGUGAACUCAUCUCCGGGGGUAGAGCACUGUUUCGGCUAGGGGGCCAUCCCGGCUUACCAACCCGAUGCAAACUGCGAAUACCGGAGAAUGUUAUCACGGGAGACACACGGCGGGUGCUAACGUCCGUCGUGAAGAGGGAAACAACCCAGACCGCCAGCUAAGGUCCCAAAGUCAUGGUUAAGUGGGAAACGAUGUGGGAAGGCCCAGACAGCCAGGAUGUUGGCUUAGAAGCAGCCAUCAUUUAAAGAAAGCGUAAUAGCUCACUGGUCGAGUCGGCCUGCGCGGAAGAUGUAACGGGGCUAAACCAUGCACCGAAGCUGCGGCAGCGACACUGUGUGUUGUUGGGUAGGGGAGCGUUCUGUAAGCCUGUGAAGGUGGCCUGUGAGGGUUGCUGGAGGUAUCAGAAGUGCGAAUGCUGACAUAAGUAACGAUAAAGCGGGUGAAAAGCCGCUCGCCGGAAGACCAAGGGUUCCUGUCCAACGUUAAUCGGGGCAGGGUGAGUCGACCCCUAAGGCGAGGCCGAAAGGCGUAGUCGAUGGGAAACGGGUUAAUAUUCCCGUACUUGGUGUUACUGCGAAGGGGGGACGGAGAAGGCUAUGUUGGCCGGGCGACGGUUGUCCCGGUUUAAGCGUGUAGGUGUGUGUUCCAGGUAAAUCCGGUUCACUUUAACACUGAGGCGUGACGACGAGGCACUACGGUGCUGAAGCAACAAAUGCCCUGCUUCCAGGAAAAGCCUCUAAGCAUCAGGUAACAUCAAAUCGUACCCCAAACCGACACAGGUGGUCAGGUAGAGAAUACCAAGGCGCUUGAGAGAACUCGGGUGAAGGAACUAGGCAAAAUGGUGCCGUAACUUCGGGAGAAGGCACGCUGACACGUAGGUGAAGUGAUUUACUCAUGGAGCUGAAGUCAGUCGAAGAUACCAGCUGGCUGCAACUGUUUAUUAAAAACACAGCACUGUGCAAACACGAAAGUGGACGUAUACGGUGUGACGCCUGCCCGGUGCCGGAAGGUUAAUUGAUGGGGUCAGCGCAAGCGAAGCUCCUGAUCGAAGCCCCGGUAAACGGCGGCCGUAACUAUAACGGUCCUAAGGUAGCGAAAUUCCUUGUCGGGUAAGUUCCGACCUGCACGAAUGGCGUAAUGAUGGCCAGGCUGUCUCCACCCGAGACUCAGUGAAAUUGAACUCGCUGUGAAGAUGCAGUGUACCCGCGGCAAGACGGAAAGACCCCGUGAACCUUUACUAUAGCUUGACACUGAACAUUGAGCCUUGAUGUGUAGGAUAGGUGGGAGGCUUUGAAGCGUGGACGCCAGUCUGCGUGGAGCCGACCUUGAAAUACCACCCUUUAAUGUUUGAUGUUCUAACGUGGACCCGUAAUCCGGGUUGCGGACAGUGUCUGGUGGGUAGUUUGACUGGGGCGGUCUCCUCCUAAAGAGUAACGGAGGAGCACGAAGGUUGGCUAAUCCUGGUCGGACAUCAGGAGGUUAGUGCAAUGGCAUAAGCCAGCUUGACUGCGAGCGUGACGGCGCGAGCAGGUGCGAAAGCAGGUCAUAGUGAUCCGGUGGUUCUGAAUGGAAGGGCCAUCGCUCAACGGAUAAAAGGUACUCCGGGGAUAACAGGCUGAUACCGCCCAAGAGUUCAUAUCGACGGCGGUGUUUGGCACCUCGAUGUCGGCUCAUCACAUCCUGGGGCUGAAGUAGGUCCCAAGGGUAUGGCUGUUCGCCAUUUAAAGUGGUACGCGAGCUGGGUUUAGAACGUCGUGAGACAGUUCGGUCCCUAUCUGCCGUGGGCGCUGGAGAACUGAGGGGGGCUGCUCCUAGUACGAGAGGACCGGAGUGGACGCAUCACUGGUGUUCGGGUUGUCAUGCCAAUGGCACUGCCCGGUAGCUAAAUGCGGAAGAGAUAAGUGCUGAAAGCAUCUAAGCACGAAACUUGCCCCGAGAUGAGUUCUCCCUGAGACUUAGAGUCUCCUGAAGGAACGUUGAAGACGACGACGUUGAUAGGCCGGGUGUGUAAGCGCAGCGAUGCGUUGAGCUAACCGGUACUAAUGAACCGUGAGGCUUAACCUU
RNAcentral lists this ribosomal RNA (2902 nucleotides) under Salmonella enterica subsp. enterica serovar Goldcoast. Its description in RNAcentral is "23S ribosomal RNA". It matches the Rfam family "Bacterial large subunit ribosomal RNA". The record is from RNAcentral. Lineage: Bacteria; Pseudomonadati; Pseudomonadota; Gammaproteobacteria; Enterobacterales; Enterobacteriaceae.